CCUACGGGAGGCUGCAGUGGGGAAUAUUGCACAAUGGGCGCAAGCCUGAUGCAGCCAUGCCGCGUGUGUGAAGAAGGCCUUCGGGUUGUAAAGCACUUUCAGCGGGGAGGAAGGCGUUAAGGUUAAUAACCUUGUCGAUUGACGUUACCCGCAGAAGAAGCACCGGCUAACUCCGUGCCAGCAGCCGCGGUAAUACGGAGGGUGCAAGCGUUAAUCGGAAUUACUGGGCGUAAAGCGCACACAGGCGGUCUGUCAAGUCGGAUGUGAAAUCCCCGGGCUCAACCUGGGAACUGCAUUCGAAACUGGCAGGCUAGAGUCUUGUAGAGGGGGGUAGAAUUCCAGGUGUAGCGGUGAAAUGCGUAGAGAUCUGGAGGAAUACCGGUGGCGAAGGCGGCCCCCUGGACAAAGACUGACGCUCAGGUGCGAAAGCGUGGGGAGCAAACAGGAUUAGAUACCCGAGUAGUC
Molecule: ribosomal RNA, 465 nt
Filed under: uncultured Klebsiella sp.
Lineage: Bacteria; Pseudomonadati; Pseudomonadota; Gammaproteobacteria; Enterobacterales; Enterobacteriaceae
Description: bacterial SSU rRNA
Rfam family: Bacterial small subunit ribosomal RNA
Source: RNAcentral